Molecule: ribosomal RNA, 390 nt
Filed under: Chrysophyceae sp.
Lineage: Eukaryota; Chrysophyceae
Description: partial small subunit ribosomal RNA
Rfam family: Eukaryotic small subunit ribosomal RNA
Source: RNAcentral
AUUCCAGCUCCAAUAGCGUAUACUAAAGUUGUUGCAGUUAAAAAGCUCGUAGUUGAAUUUCUGGGUGUGAUAGGCGGUCCGUGUGCAUAACAUGUGUACCUCCCUCUCAUGCCCAUCCUCGAAGUGAAUAUGCAUUGCCUUAACUGUGUCGUGUAUAGGACCUUCGUCAUUUACUGUGAGCAAAAUAGAGUGUUCAAAGCAGGCUUAUGCCGUUGAAUAUAUUAGCAUGGAAUAAUAAGAUAUAACUUCUGUCUAUUUGUUGGUUUGCAUUCGGAAGUAAUGAUUAAUAGGGAUAGUUGGGGGUUUUCGUAUUCAAUUGUCAGAGGUGAAAUUCUUGGAUUUAUGGAAGACGAACUACUGCGAAAGCAUCAACCAAGGAUGUUUUCAUUA